UGUGGCCGUUUCCUGCAUCUUCUCCCUCUUCCGCUUCUUCUUCUUCCCCUAAAAAUAUACAGAGGAACGCAUAAAGUGUGGCUCCAGCACUCACGCUCACUAGACCACUCGGAUAUCCUGCUGCUGACUGCCAUGUUCACUCAUCCCCUGCUGGGCAGCCGAGCAGCGAAACCCGGCCUCCGCACUCCACCGCAACCCGCAACCCUGAGAGGAACCGAGCAACCGAGUGUCGUCUGCUCCACACACUGCAAAAACUAAACCUUACCCGCUGUUAUCGGUCCAGUUUAGUGUAGAAAUCUCAGUACAGUUUAAAUAAGACCAAACUAACUUACAGGUAACUUCAGCAAGAUAUAGGAGCUGGUUUUACGUAAAUAAUUCUUUAAUAUUGAUACUAAAAAGUGCUAGUUCCAGUGGCUGAUUAUGUCUCGUAUAACAUGUUACAUUUUCCCUUGUUUUAAGUGAAAUAAUCUGCCAGUGGAACUCAAACUUUUUCAUCAAUAUUAAAAAUCUGACUUGCUGACAAGCUACUUGUAAGUUAGUUUGGCCUCAUUUCGACUCUACUAAGAAUGUUUUCCAAUGUGGGCGCCUCAGAAAGUUAGUUAUAAAACAGAAAUUUUUUAAACCAAGUUUUCAAUUGCAUAUAGUUUUUAUCCUAAAAUCUGAUCUGUUACUUAUUAUAACAUUUUAGUUAAACUAACUUAUUGAAAGGUUAUUUGUCGUGCUCGUCUUUCUGAUAGCAGCGCUUCGAUCGCAGUUUCCUGCAUGAUAGACGAUCUUUAAGAAGGGUUAGGUGAUUAGGUGAUCUGCUGAUUCAGAUUUUGGCCAAUAUAAAUGUUUUGGUCGCCCAAAAUUAAGAAAAUCGGGCUGAUUUAUCUGGUACACCCGUCCUUUCUGAAUGGCUGCCAGUCAAAUUUUAGCUGCUUUGCUCUUCAAGCUAGUGUAGCAAGCAGCCAUGGAAACGUUUGUGACAGGAAAGAGGCAGAAGGAACCGUCCAGCAGCCAGAAAACCCCAAGAAUUCAUCACCAGCUAAAACCAGAGGCAGCAUUUGUGCUACACAAAUGCAAUAAUUAAUAAAUUGUGAAUAAAAGAGAAAAAAAAUUCUAAAAGUCGACGUUUCUUCACAUAUUUUGUAGCGUUGUGAGAGCAUUGUCUCUUGGCUAGCAAGUAGCUCCAAGGUCAAAAGUUACUGCUGUUUGGACGGCCGUGUACUAAGAUAUUUGAACCAGAAACUAAAAAUACUUGGUAAGAGUAGCUGUUUGCAAGUCUUUGUCUAUAUUCUCCUAAUGUCAAAAGAACACAUUUUUGCAAUUACUGUUUCCAUUAAAUAAGAAAUUAAAUUAAAAUCAUGCCUGAAUAAGCUUGUUGUAAACAGGUAAAUGAGACGUAUUUAUAAUUGAGCCGUGGCGCUAGCACUCGUCAGCCAAUCAGAGGAGACGCCGGCGUCUUAUUCAGUGGCAAGCCCUGCCUACUGGGAGUGGCUACGUAUGCAGCAUUUUUGGGGAUGAUGUAGUCGGUGAUUUUACAGAUGAGCUAUGGAUUUAUCACGCUGGAAUGAUACAUAACUUUUUAUGAACUGUGUGAUGAUAUGAGCUGCACCUUGACUGAAAACCCCAAAACAAACCAUCAUCCUCCUACUACUUCCUGUCGUCUUCGUGUGAUGCUAAAAACGUGUUUUGAUAUGCCUGAAAAAAAAUUAUCGAAAAACUUUUUUUGUUUUUACGUUUCCAUUGAGCAAAUUUAUUUCAAGUUGCUCCAUUUUAUGGUUAAUGUCAACGCAGCUGGUGUGUGUUUUUGCAGUGCAUAUUAAACUGUUCUGUCUACAUCUGAAGUCGUGAAGCAAUUAAAAUAUUCUCUAAAACUGGAGCAGUGUCCUCUGCAGAAAGCAGCACUCUCCUUCCAGUAAGGACAUGCAAGGAUUUAUAGCUUCAGCUAAAUCCCCAAAGGGGGGGAACUAAAGGUAUAGAUAGCAGAGAGGAGUCGUUCUACUCAAAUAUGAGAAGCACUUUGGUUUCCAGCUGCAAAGUCUGCUAAUCCACUUAUUCAUGAGCUAAUCUGCCUUCUGCCGCUGCGGCAGGCGUCGAGGAGGACAGACCGAGCGAGUGUGGGUGAAAGGAGGGAUGAGAGAGGUGCAGCGCGCCCGAACUGUGUGGGGUUUCCAGGCAAGACAUGCUUCUAGUCAACAGCUGGUGAUUCAGGCAAAGAAUGAGUCAUGCUCUUAUCUCUCUGAUGUGACUAACAGCAAGACGAUCGACUUCUCCUAGGAAAGCUAGAGCAGCAGCUGAUGCUGCGGUUGGGUCGCUCUCAGAGCAGCGGGUCGGCAGCGGAGCGGCGGCGGCACAAAGCAGGGGGUGCUGUCGAUGUCCGAGGGGAGGCAGGUAAACACCACAAAGCACUUCGGUGGUGGAGUGAAGCGCAUGUUGGCAGACGCAAGGCGUAUGUGGAGCACAGCUUCCUCACAUCUCCGCUCCGCAGCGUUAUUUAUAGCCGGUCCCGUCUUCAUCAUCUUCAUCAUCGCAGGAGAAGAAAGCAAAAAGGUGGAGGACGAAACGCCGUUUUUUUCUUCCCUCAGCAUCAUGGAGAAGCUGCCAAGGCCUCCAGCUGUGCGAGGCCGCGGUGCCUCGUCCAAACUGUCAGAGCUGCAGCUUGAUCUUAUUCCUGCGAACCGAGCCGAGCCGAACCGAGCCGAGGGAGCGGCCGGUCGACUUCAAACCAGAUCCCACUUCACAGUGAAGUGACACCUUCGGGUCGGAGCGUCUCUACUCGUUCCUGACAGCGUCGACAGUCAGAAGAAGAAGAAAAACACUAAAGCGUUGCAUAAGUUAAAUAAAAAUUGGGUUCAACAAUGUGUCGCUGCAGUAUUUUUAGCUAGCGCUUUAUUUUCUUUCAGAGCUUGAAGUCUUUCAUCAAAGGCUGCUCGUUUGUCAUCAGACGGCAACUUGGGUUUAUUUUAAGGCCUGAACAAACCGAGAACUCUUUUAGCUGUUUUACAAAUGUAUAAUUGCAUGACAAGUCGUCUAUCGUCUUGUUUUAAUCUAUAAGAACCAUAUUGUAAAUAUGUUUAACACAGUGAUGAGUGAAUCAGUUGGGCCCAAGCUACAUCUCUUCUAUCAUCCUGUUUAUCCGCUCUUAUAUUUUAAUCCUACAUGCCUCGACCUUUAGGUUGUUUUCACACCUGACCUCUCCAAUUGAUGACAAAAAAUGCAUCCUUGUUACAUUUUCAGCUGGUUUGGUUCUCUUUCUCAUUAAACUGUGUUAAAUAAACCAAACUAAUUGAAAAACCUGUUUGCCUCAGCACAGGGAAAUUAUGCAAGGAAAUGACGCAAACGCCUGUAAAGAAGACACUGAGCUCAACUUCCUUCUUCACAAAAUGUAAACAGAAAAGGAGCUAUAUCGUAGUUUAGCAAUUGGAGGAUUUGUCAUUUGUCUUUGGUACAAGACCACGAUCCAUUUGUAGCUAGAAUCAGACUAGCGCAUUUGUUUUGGUUGUAUUUACCCAGAAUGCCCUGCGCAGUACUCCGCUUGGCGGUCUCCGGUCUGCUUGCAUUCACAUUUGCAUUUGAACCGCAUCAGAAUUUAGUUCAACCAAACCCAUAUCGAGGUUUGUAGGUGGACCAGAGCUCGCUACUUUAAUUUGAGUACGCAUUCACUCCUCCCCAAACAAACCGGACAUUCUGGACAAAUGAACUGGAGUUCGAUUAAUGGUGCUUUCACACCUGAUAGUUUGGUAGAUUCAUUUCCAUUGGGUUCCAAAAGUUCAGAGUUUGUUACAUUUUCAUCUGCUCUGGUUCUCUUUCUCACUGCAGGGAGUCAAACCAACCAAACCCGUAGAGCAACCUGUUCCCCUCCUCGCCUCUGGGGGCGCUGCACCAAGAACCUCUGAAGGAAACAACAUAGUUUUGGUGGGCACUGCUAACUCAUUAGUUGGAUAUAUACAUGAAGAGAUGGACAAUAUCAGUCCAACAGGUCCUGCUGUUCAUCCUCUCAGCGGUGGGCUGCUAGCUCACUUUCUUCUGAGAAGAAAACACUGAGCACAAUUUCCUUCUUCUUAAAAUGUAAACAGAAAUUGAGAGGUGUCAGAUUUUAGCAUUGAAGGAUUUCUCCUUUGUCUUUGACUAAACACCACGAACCAUUUCUCCCGCUAGCGCUAGGCUAACAUGUUUGCUUUGGUUUAGUCCCUGUUCAGUCCGCAUCAAUUGGAACCAUGUGUGAUUGAAUUGAAAUGACUUUUUUCGUAAACGCCUUGAGACGAUAUCUGUUGUGAACUGCUGCUAUGUAAAUAAACUGAAUGGGAUGCAUAUUA
This is a long non-coding RNA of Xiphophorus couchianus (Monterrey platyfish), 4301 nucleotides long. RefSeq lists it as uncharacterized. The record is from RefSeq and is a predicted model, not a curated record. The transcript has 2 exons. Lineage: Eukaryota; Metazoa; Chordata; Actinopteri; Cyprinodontiformes; Poeciliidae.